Molecule: RNase P RNA, 343 nt
Filed under: Paraclostridium sordellii
Lineage: Bacteria; Bacillati; Bacillota; Clostridia; Peptostreptococcales; Peptostreptococcaceae
Description: Paeniclostridium sordellii RNase P RNA component class A
Rfam family: Bacterial RNase P class A
About the family: Ribonuclease P (RNase P) is a ubiquitous endoribonuclease, found in archaea, bacteria and eukarya as well as chloroplasts and mitochondria. Its best characterised activity is the generation of mature 5'-ends of tRNAs by cleaving the 5'-leader elements of precursor-tRNAs.
Source: RNAcentral
UGAGUAAGUCAGAUAAUCGCGGGUAGCAUUAGCUAUACGAGGAAAGUCGGAGCUCCAUAGAGCAGGAUGCUAGGUAACGCCUAGUGAGAGCGAUCUUAAGGAAAGUGCAACAGAAAAUAACCGCCAUAUUUAUCUAUGGUAAGGAUGAAAAGGUGAGGUAAGAGCUCACCAGCGGCUAGGUGACUAGUCGGCUGUGUAAACCCCAUCUGGAGCAAGGCCAAGUUAGGAUUAAAGAGUAUUGCUCGUACUCUCCGGUUGGUAGGCCGCUUGAGCUUAUUGGUGACAAUAAGUCUAGAAAGAUGAUUAUCUAAUACAGAACUCCGCUUACAGAUUUGCUCAAUUA